This is a long non-coding RNA of Ruditapes philippinarum (Manila clam), 409 nucleotides long. RefSeq lists it as uncharacterized. The record is from RefSeq and is a predicted model, not a curated record. NCBI's taxonomy places the organism in Eukaryota, Metazoa, Mollusca, Bivalvia, Venerida, Veneridae. The transcript has 3 exons.
AGGGCUAAUUCGGGUAAUUUAGUGUUUAGGUACGAUGCAUCGGCAGGAUCGUUAGGCCUUAUCACAGUCGGUGUACCAGAAUCGUUUAACGAAGAACAUAGAUUAGUUAUAGAUGGUGCUGAAUGUAUCAAAGCUUUAAAGAAUUGGGACAAAACAGUGUUCUGCCAAAAGGGAAUUAAAUCGAAAUUGCAGAAAAAGUGGUGUUUAGAAACAUCAAACAAUUAUUUAUAUGACCAUUAUAUACAGAAUUCAUGCCUUUAUCUUCAUAAUACCGGUUGCGAAAGAAACCCAUGGACCGAAAACAUAUUUUGUCAGCAGGGAAGACCUUGUGAUAAAAGACUUCACUGUAUCUAUGAUAAGGAUGAUAAUGGACAAUUAUUAGGCUGUAGAUCGUAUGACCAUUUGCAAA